AUUCCAGCUCCAAUAGCGUAUAUUAAAGUUGUUGCAGUUAAAAAGCUCGUAGUCGGAUUUUGGCAUCACGCCGAACUGUCUGCCGAUUGGUAAGUACGGUUUGGCGGGUGCUUCCUUCCGGAGGCUCGUUCCCUUCUUCAUUGAAGGGUUCGUUGGUUCCGGGUCUUUUACUUUGAGAAAAUUAGAGUGUUCAAAGCAGGCCUAUGCUCUGAAUAGGUUAGCAUGGAAUAAUAGAAUAGGACUUUGGUUCUAUUUUGUUGGUUUUCAGGAUCUAAGUAAUGAUUGAUAGGGAUAGUUGGGGGUGCUAGUAUUUUGCGGCCAGAGGUGAAAUUCUGUGAUCCGCGAAGGACUAACUUAUGCGAAAGCAUUCACCAAGGAUGUCUUCAUCA
This 389-nucleotide ribosomal RNA is filed under the name Picozoa sp. RNAcentral's name for it is "partial small subunit ribosomal RNA". It matches the Rfam family "Eukaryotic small subunit ribosomal RNA", at positions 582 to 975 of the family's 1831-position model. Lineage: Eukaryota; Picozoa. The record is from RNAcentral.